Acipenser ruthenus (sterlet) is the source of this 691-nucleotide long non-coding RNA. RefSeq lists it as uncharacterized. Lineage: Eukaryota; Metazoa; Chordata; Actinopteri; Acipenseriformes; Acipenseridae. The record is from RefSeq and is a predicted model, not a curated record. The transcript has 4 exons.
UUCAGUUUAAUGACUCAGCUUUGGAGCAAAGAACGAAACAUAUUGAGUGAAAGUGUUGUGAAAGCAGAGUUACAGGUGCGUUGACUUUUAUGAAUACGUCAAAAAGUGCCCAGUUACUGAAAACAGCAAGGAACAAACUGAAGUACAGAUUUAAGAAGGAACUGUCAGCAAAGGCCCUCUGCUAUAGGAGACCCAACUUCUUCUAUAAGUGUUCCGGCUGCUACAAAGAAAUGAAGCCCUUAUCAUACCUUCUCCAGAAUCUACUGUGGAAGACCUCAAUAGUACCCUAAAACAUUUGAAAAUGUAGUAAUUCUACCAGCUGAAAAUAAGAGGAAGCACAGAACAGUCUCUAAGCUGGGACCCGAGGACAGAAGCAAUACAAAAGAAAAUCUUGAGCGACACAUCAUACGACUACCAGUAACACGAUCCGGAGCUGUAGAGCAAGCCAGCAUUAACCCGGACGUCAAUUUUCACCCCUGCAUUUCACGGAGUACUGUAAAUCACAUCACUACCACCUAAUUUCACUCACUGUCUUGUGUUUUUGUUUAGUGUUGGUGUGUGUAAAACCUGGAAUUUUUGGUUGUGGGUCAAACCCUGGGAUUACAAUUAUGAGUGAUACAUGCCGCUGUAUCACUCCAACAUUUAUUAUUUACUGGUGUUUGCUUUCGGGCUCUGGACAUUUGCAUUCAUU